This is a long non-coding RNA of Carassius gibelio (silver crucian carp), 1593 nucleotides long. RefSeq lists it as uncharacterized. NCBI's taxonomy places the organism in Eukaryota, Metazoa, Chordata, Actinopteri, Cypriniformes, Cyprinidae. The record is from RefSeq and is a predicted model, not a curated record. The transcript has 2 exons.
ACCUAAAGGAAAACUCAAAACUUUAUGAAACUCAGUGAAAUCAUGUAACAGGUGACUCUUAACAAGCAUGCAAAGUUUCAUGGAGAUCAGACCAUAGGUGGCGCUAUAACAGUAGAAAAGGUCUCAAAACACAAGAUUUAUAUGGUAAAUGGCCCCAAAUUGUUUGAAAAUGCUCAUAUAUUCACUCAAAAACACUAAAUCUUCAUAUCAUAUGAUAGAUCUCCUCAUUCUGAACAACUUUGCCUCUGGGACCAAUGUUGUCAAUAAAGCUGUUAAUUAAAUAUUCAAGAUUAUUUUAAAAAGUUACUUUGGCAUACUUGUGAUACGGUUUAAGAUGAAAAUCAAUAAAACCACUGAAGUACAAUUCUGUAGACUCUGAAGGUCAAUAAUUAUCAAAAACAUGUUGAACAAUUGCAUUUGGACAACUAUAAACCAGUAAUUUUAUAAUAUGUUCUUUUCAUAGUGUACACAAAGGCCUAUUAAUACAAACAGAAAGCCCACACAUUAUCAAAACUGUGUAAAACAAUGCAUAAUUUCAUUCUAAACAAGCAUGCAAAAUUUAAGAGAGAUUGGGCAAAAAAAAACACUAUAACAGUUAUGUUUAAAAACAGUGUUGCUUGAGUAAAUGCAAUUUAUAACCUCUAGAUGGCAGUGGAAGACCACUAAUGGGCUCAUUCAGUAAAGUUGAACAGUACUGUUGAAAGGAUUCAUGAAUUCAUCCCAAAACAUUAAAAAUGUAACUGUUAUAACAUUUUAAAUCUCAUUGAGUCAAUGUUUUCCAUUUUGUUCUUACAGAUAUAUCAGUUUUUACUAUUUUGCCACAUUGUGAUUACAGUUUAACCUGAAAAUGACAUCUAAACUCUUAAAAAGAGAAGACUUGCAAUAAGUUUAUUGUCACCUAUCACUUAUUUCAAAUACCUAUAUCUGCAACAAAAUGUUUGUGCAUGUAUAUGUGUGUCUUUCUGUGUGUGUGUGUGUGUGUGUGUGUGUGUGUGUGCAUAUGCUUAUAGAGUAUACAUAUAUUAGUCUAAUCAUUUACUUUCAGUGUGUGUGUCUGUCUGUUAGCCUGUUCUCCAUUUUGGAUGUGUUUAAAUGUCAUCCAUGCAUCCAGGUUGGCUCAGACCACCUCAGAGGCCUUAAUGUGCUUGAACCCCGGUAAAUGCUGCUUGCAGCUUUAAUUAUAAUUACUAUUCUUAUUAUGUUGAAUAAAGCAGAGUAGAAUUUUUUCAGGUUUCUUGAAUAGAAGUUGAAUAGAAGCAUUUAUCUGAAAUAUAAAUACUUUGGAACAUUAUAAAUGUCUUUAUCAUCAGUUUUGCUCAAUUUACAGCAUCCUUUCUAAAAAGUAUUAUGUUUUAUGUAUACGUUUUAUCUUCAACUUCUCAGCUUCAGGUCAUAAAAAUAAAGAAAUGGGACAGUUAAAUCAACUAAACCUGUAAAACACUGUGUUAGGACGAUAAAUAAAUGGUUAAAUCUUGUUUUUAGACAAGACAAUUAAGUUACUUAAAACUGUAAAAUACAGAUUUAAUGCUGAUUGUUUAUUAUUACUUGUUUUAUUGCUGGUUAUUAAUAAAAACAUCAGAUCUUUGUGUUUAA